RNAcentral lists this ribosomal RNA (858 nucleotides) under uncultured archaeon. RNAcentral's name for it is "bacterial SSU rRNA". It matches the Rfam family "Archaeal small subunit ribosomal RNA", at positions 23 to 861 of the family's 1478-position model. The record is from RNAcentral.
CGCCUGCUUUCGGGGUAGGCUAGGAAUGCUAGUCGUGCGCUCUUUAGCCUGAAGAGAGCGCGGCACACAGCUCAGUAACACGUGGCUAACCUGCCCUCGGGACAGAGACAACCCCGGGAAACUGGGGCUAAUCCCUGAUAGGUGAAGAACUCUGGAAUGAGUCUCCGCCCAAAGGGCGCUUGCAUCAUGCUUGCAGGCGCCGCCCAAGGAUGGGGCCGCGACCGAUCAGGUUGUUGGUGAGGUAACGGCCCACCAAGCCUUUUACCGGUACGGGCCGUGAGAGCGGGAGCCCGGAGAUGGGCACUGAGACAAGGGCCCAGGCCCUACGGGGCGCAGCAGUCGCGCAAACUUUGCAAUACACGAAAGUGUGACAGGGCUAUCCCGAGUGCCGCCCGCUGAGGGUGGCUUUUGCCCAGUAUAGCAAGCUGGGAGAAUAAGGAGAGGGCAAGUCUGGUGUCAGCCGCCGCGGUAAUACCAGCUCUCCGAGUGGUGUGGAUGUUUAUUGGGCCUAAAGCAUCCGUAGCUCGCUGUUCAAGUCCCCUGUUAAACCCAGCGAAUUAAUCGUUGGAUUGCGGGGGAUACUGCUCGGCUAGGGGGCGAGAGAGGCCGACGGUAUUUUCGGGGUAGGGGUGAAAUCCUAUAAUCCCGGGAAGACCACCAGUGGCGAAGGCUGUCGGCUAGAACGCGCUCGACGGUGAGGGAUGAAAGCUGGGGGAGCGAACCGGAUUAGAUACCCGGGUAGUCCCAGCUGUAAACUAUGCAGGCUAGGUGUUUGGGCGGCCACGCGCCGCUCUAGUGCCGCAGGGAAGCUGUUAAGCCUGCCGCCUGGGAGUACGGACGCAAGUCUGAAACUUAAAG